RNAcentral lists this long non-coding RNA (358 nucleotides) under Hordeum vulgare. Its description in RNAcentral is "long non-coding RNA (HVUL_LNC006825)". Lineage: Eukaryota; Viridiplantae; Streptophyta; Magnoliopsida; Poales; Poaceae. The record is from RNAcentral.
UUCGAUGGAGCAGAGGAGGCCGUGGAGGAGGAGGAGGGAGUCGCCGUCGCGGUUGGAGGAGGGAGUGUCCGUCGAGGUCAGCAGAGAGCCUUCGUCAAGAUCAGGAGCGACCCUCCGUCGAGGUAAGGAGCGAGCCGUGGAGGAGGAGGAGGGAGUCGCCGUCGCGGUUGGAGGAGGGAGUCUCCGUCGAGGUCAGCAGCGAUCCUCCGUCGAGGUCAGGAGCCUCUGUCGUUGCUUCGUCCGUCUCGACCCGGUGGCGCCCUCUAUCCGAUCCAGCGGCGCAACCCUCGAUCCGGUGGAGCCCCCCGGCGGCGCAGCCCUCGAUCUGGUGGAGCCCCUCGACGAUGUAGCCCUCGAU